GGUGUGCACUUACAUUUGCACUUAAAAUGGACCUUAACUGUAUGAUCAUUCCAUGUCAGAAAGGGCUUUUACUUGAAUUGUGAGUUUUUUUCAGUCCUUCUCUUCACAUAGGCGUGACCGAUAGACAAGGUUACUCCAUUCAAAGUGCCAUGUAAGGGUAAUUGUAAAGAACAAAAAAAAAACAGAGUGUCAUGUUCUGGUGCCAUGUGAUUGAAUUUGACAUGAAAUAGUGUGUGUAGGACGUGUUAUAGGACGUGCAUUUGUAAUGUGAUGAUAAUGCAUAGCGGGAAAAUAGUCCUAUCGUUGUAUGAAUCAUGAUUUGAUGUGUGUGGCAUGACUAAAGCCAUGCCUUUCAAGAGAGAAUCUGCAGCUGCCUGCUUUCAUUAUAGAUUGACUAUGUCAGAGGGGUCCCCCCCAAAAGGAUCAUGGUCAUAUUACCCAUGAGUCCCCAAGUGUACAAAGCAUCUGAUUCGAUGGUACAAGACUAUGCCCCUUAUUGCUUCAUGUUCAAACAGGAUACAGUGGACUUAUACAAAAUGGUGGAUGUGAUGUUUCAAUGUCUAGUCAAUCAUUUCUGACUGUAUUGAUACUGUAGUAUUGUUCUACUGCAUGUUUUCAAUAAUGCUGCAUCGUUUCUGAAGAAAAAAGGGAACGCCAUCGGUACAAAAGUAUUGUGAAAUAUGGACAAAUCGGCAUUGAGGGAGGGAGGGAAAGGGUGUCGGGGGAACUAACUCGUACACCUGUUUGGGGAGAGUUAGGCAGCUCUCUAGACAUGCUUGUGUCACGCUAAGAGGCAGCACCGUCAUUCCUCUUCUGUUGCACUACAGUGACUGGGUUUGGUGCCAAGAGGCGUGCAGUGAGAGCCGAGAAGUUACCACUAGGAUUCAGUGAAACAAACCUGACUGUUGACUUGUUACGCCCAGUGACCCUUUCCACAAAGACUCUGAGGAGGAGCGAGCAGGGGGCUAGUUGGAUUGUCUCAGCUGUAGCUGUCUGUCAACAGGGGGAGGGUCUUCACUGAGCUUCUUUACAGUUAAAUCCCCAGCACAAACACACCCAGUGCUUAGGAAGCACUGAGGUGGAGCUGUUCAGUGUGUGUAUGCUUGUCUCUGUGUAUGCGUGUGCAGUUGUAAGUGUGUGUGGAGGUGGUGUAUGUUUAUUGGCUCCGCAAAAUGUAGGCAUUCUGCAGCGGAAAAACAGGAGAGCAAGUUUGCCUUUGGCCUAUAACCGUGGGUGGGUGGGCCAGAAGGCUUGUAUAUGUAGCAUCUCUUAGUCAAAGUUUCUUUGCCCUAAUGGUGUGGUUUGUCACUUGGGGUACGUCGGGGUGAGAGAGCUUUCGAUUAUAAUUUCAAUCAGUCCCGUGCUGAACCAGGAAAUGGAUAAAAAAAUCAACUUGAAUUAUCGAUUACCAUUUAGAUCGAGUUUUGUACUGUAAUGUCUUCAGGGGUGUGCCUGGCCUAUUGUGACAGGCAGAGUGUCCUUAGCAUAUAAUUUCACUAAAGCCCCCCCCGACCACGUCGGGUGCUUACAGACAAGAAAAAUAAAUGCCCUGCACACUAUAACUUUUAUUUUUAAAACCCAUAAUGCUAAGCAAUUUACAUUUUAAUCGCUUUGUAGGGUUAUUAUAUUGAGAGAGAGAGAGAGAGAGAGAGAGAGGAUUGGUGGUUUUUUGAGCUGUGCAGCGACUCCAAGCAAGCUGUUUAUUGCAUGUAUGAAAACUGUCUUACUGAUUAGAAGAAAGUCAAAUUGCCUGGCAGGUGAAAAAGAAACAAACUUUCUGAAUGGUCCUCCUGGCUUUACUUGAAUAAUGAAGAUUUAAAAAAAUGUUUGUCGGCUGUUCAUGUGUGCUUUGUGUGAAAAAGCACUGUCUGCCAUAUGUCCCUCACCCUGAAUGAUACACAUACUGUAGGUCCACAACAACACGUUUAACAAUGCAAAUCAAUGGUAUACAAACUCUCACCUUAUAUUACAAAACUUCUAUAUCAAACUAUCAAGUUUGUUCACUUCUUUGGCUUUUCUGUGAUGUAAUUAAAAAGAGAUUUGUUGACAUAAAGAUGAAAAAUGUAACAAUUAUGUUCUGUGAAGAGAUGGCAAUCUUAUUGGUUCUUAAUGGAAAGCUACAGCUACUGUAAAUUGUAUACAGUUGCUAUGACCUGCGGUAUUGAACACCUUAAAGGCCCAAAGCAGCUGUUUUAUUACCCGUUUUUGGGUAACAAUUUUGUACAUUACUGUAAUAGAUUUCCAUUAAAAAGGGCAAAAAUAGCUUUAUAGCAAAAAACUAUUUCUCAAGCAAGAAUUUUGCAAGGACUGUCUGGGAAUGGUGGAAGGGGACAACUGAAAACCUGAUGUUAUUGGCAGAGAGGUUUGAAACUUUUUUAAAAUUGGUAUAUUAAAGCUGUUAGGGCGACCCAACUAAAUUCACAUAGAAAUGUGAGUUAUAGAUCUGUCUUUCUCAUUUAAAGCAAGUCUACGAAGCGGUAUAUCUGUUCUAUGUGUUCUAUUUUUAUGCUUCCUGGGUCUUUUACUUUCGGUUUUGUACACCAGCUUCAAACAGAUGAAAAUACAGCAUUUCUGGUUAUUGAAAUAUAUUUACAGUGGUUUAUAUUGUACAAUGAUUCUCUACACUAUGCAUUGCUUGUUUUUUCACAUACAUUGAUAUGCCACACUGAUAUGGCAAACUAUUAGAAUUUUUACAACCAGGAAAUGGCACAGCGAUUUCUGCAUCUUGCACCUUUAACCAAUUUACUGCAUGGCGAUGUCACCAUUGAAAGUCUAAACUCCUGCCCAUGCAAACCUGCUCAUUAGAAGGUCCUGUGUAGAUUGUGUUUUCAACCAGCAACUAUCAAGAAAUAACACUGGUACAUUUUUUUUUUUAAUACUUUUCCUGUGUUAGUUUUACUAUAUGAUACAAAACACAGGAAAAAUUGAAUUUUGAUGGCACUGGGCCUUAAAGUAACCAAAUGUCAUCUAUACGGUUAUUGUAUGCAUUACCAGCAGUGAACAAAUCCUAUUCUUAAGGUGAAAUAUAAUUGGUUUUCUACAUCUCAUAUAUGCAAAUAACAGUGGUUUGAGUUCUGUGGAAUGGAAUAAAUUAAAGUGUAUUUAACAUAGUGGUAGUAUAAACUAAUUGGAUACAUGACACUGCAUUUAGACACUAAUGCUUUGUCAAACAAAUCAUACUCCAGACUCCCAAUAUACAUAGGUGUUUUUGAAUGUUUAGUAUAAGUUGGGAAUACUGCUGAUUCAUCUUAACAAGUGGAGUUGGCCCUCUGUACUUGUGCUUGGCAGGUAAUUAAUUUAAUUAAUAGAGAUCCAAGAAUGGAUCCUUGUGGAACACCACAUUUGAUUUCAAGAGGGGGGAGUUUAUUCCUUUUAAUGUGACAGAUUGCAUUCUUCCUUUUCCUUUUAAGAAUGCAGAUAAUGGUCCCCAUGUACUUAUUUGGUUUUAUAUUAUGAAUGUCAUGUUUUACACUCCAUAUUCUUUGUUAAGGCACUUGUGGGGACACCUGUGGUAUGCAGUAUGUGGGAAACAUACGGAUACAGACACAGUUUUUCCCACUGAUACAAUCUAUUUUGCUUGACAGUGAUCACAGCAUUGUCCCAAUCAUGUUUAAUGUCAUCCUUGGUUUUUAUGAAUUUAUAUCUUUCACUACUUUGCCCCUUUAGGGCCACCACAUUUCACAGUCUCUGAGCUGUUUGUGAGGCUUAUUUUGUUGUGAUAUUUUUUAAACCAUGUGAGGCAGAGUCUUUGGCAAAAUGGUUUAGUUCAUUUGAGGGAGAGCGGUUGAGGUUUUGCUCAGUGCCUGUAUGGUUCACACUAGUUACUGCCACUACUUAUUCUAAAUCUACUAAAACUCUUGGCGCUAGUAUGUAGCCAAACAGUCACUUGUUGAUUAUACUAAUCAAUUACAAAUUAUUGGUCUUGUUGCUUCCUUUGUUAGUGUACAAUAGUCUCUGGUCUAGCCUCAUGCUAUUCUUCCUAUGUUUGGAAGGUUGAUUUUAUAUAGAUUUGAAUGUAGUGUAUUUUUGCCCAACACAUUUCUGUUAUAAAUUACACCUGUGGUGCUUCAGUCAGCUACUUGUUCAACUGCUUUCACAGAAGAUCUAUGCUGCGUAUUAAAACUAGGAACAAACUAGGGCUGUUUGAAAAAGCAGUAUCACACAUGACUUCAGUAUGAAAUUGUCCAGGGAGCUAAUGUUUAGGGUGUGUUGCUGUGUCACAAUACUUUAAAAACAUACUUUCCUUAUCCUCUUUCAUGACCACUGACCAGUGAAAGGACUCAAUAGGUUUUCACUAUACUGCUGUGCUCUCAUCUAUCGAGUCCUCAGGUCAGUAGUGAAGAAAAGGAUACCAGGUAAGAUAUUUACAGUAUGUGUAUGACUUGGGAUAUAGUCUUGACUGCUAUGUCUCUUCCCCCUAAACUGUUAUCAAUGGUCUCACAUGUUUUAGAGUGCUGAUGUGAUGAAGAUUUUCUGUUCUUUUAAGAUAAAUUAAGAUUAUAGUAAAAAUCCAACAAGUUCUAUAUCAUAUAUAGGAACACCAAAGAUCCUAUGUAAUGUUGACAAUGAAAAAAGGCAAAUAAACAAUAAACUUCACAAAGGUGUUAUUAAGGGGUUGUGAUACUUGGUUUGUACCAUUUGACUGAUCUAUAGAUUGAGUUUAUUAGUAAUUAUACAAUGGGUGGGUCUAAUCCUGAAUGCUGAUUGGUUAAAACCGCAUUUCAGCCUGUCUAUUCCACAAGUUGCCACCGGAUAAAUCUAACUGACUGCAAUCCACUGUCUCAUCAGCCCAGCCAACUUAUAAACUUGAUCUCCACUAUAAAAAGCAUCUAGACAUUAUCUAAUUUAUU
Molecule: long non-coding RNA, 4850 nt
Filed under: Salmo salar (Atlantic salmon)
Lineage: Eukaryota; Metazoa; Chordata; Actinopteri; Salmoniformes; Salmonidae
Description: lncRNA (ENSSSAG00000110159.1)
Source: RNAcentral